Molecule: long non-coding RNA, 219 nt
Filed under: Elaeis guineensis (African oil palm)
Lineage: Eukaryota; Viridiplantae; Streptophyta; Magnoliopsida; Arecales; Arecaceae
Description: long non-coding RNA (EGUI_LNC018880)
Source: RNAcentral
GCGAAGGUCUCCGCCUCGGCCGCCAUAGUCGGAGAGAGAAGAGAUUUGACUUGGAGGAGAAAAGAGGGAUGGGGCUAGGGCUCGACUACCGGGAGACGCUAUGGGAUUGGAGGGAUCUAGGGUUUGCCGAGAGAACGGGUUCAUAUAGAGAAGAGGCGGGUGGUUCUAGAUUGUUCUGACGCUACAAAGCCGGAGGGUGGUUGACUUGGACUAAGAAAG